Molecule: ribosomal RNA, 700 nt
Filed under: uncultured bacterium
Lineage: Bacteria
Description: bacterial SSU rRNA
Rfam family: Bacterial small subunit ribosomal RNA
Source: RNAcentral
AGCGGCGCACGGGUGAGUAACGCGUACAUGACCUACCUCUAAGACUGGGAUAGCCCUGGGAAACUGGGAUUAAUACCGGAUGUGAUAAUAUGUAUAGAUAUGUAUUAUUAAAGAUGAGUCGCUUAGAGAUGGGUGUGCGUUUGAUUAGCUAGUUGGUAGGGUAACGGCCUACCAAGGCAACGAUCAAUAGGGGGCGUGAGAGCGUGGCCCCCCACACGGGUACUGAGACACGGACCCGACUCCUACGGGAGGCAGCAGUAAGGAAUAUUGGUCAAUGGACGAAAGUCUGAACCAGCCAUCCCGCGUGCAGGAUGACGGCCCUAUGGGUUGUAAACUGCUUUUGGCAGAGACGAAACGCCUUCAUUCAUGAGGGUCUGACGGUAUCUGCAGAAUAAGCACCGGCUAACUCCGUGCCAGCAGCCGCGGUAAUACGGAGGGUGCAAGCGUUAUCCGGAAUCACUGGGUUUAAAGGGUGCGUAGGCGGGGAAUUAAGUCAGUGGUGAAAGCCUGUCGCUUAACGAUAGAAUUGCCAUUGAUACUGAUUUUCUUGAAUUGGGUUGAGGUUAGCGGAAUGUGACAUGUAGCGGUGAAAUGCAUAGAUAUGUCAUGGAACACCAAUUGCGAAGGCAGCUAGCUGGGCCUUGAUUGACGCUGAGGCACGAAAGCGUGGGUAGCGAACAGGAUUAGAUACCCUGGUAGU